UUUAAAUAUUAAUAUAUCAUGGUACAGGGAUUUCGUGUACUAUCAUCGCUGCCUCCGUAUAUAGCCAUGUCUCCCCCUCCCUCCCCUAACCUUUUAAUACAGUCCCCUCUCCCCUUCCUUUAGUAUUCCCACCCUGUAUUCUCCCGUUUUCCGUUGUUUAUCCUUGCUCCCACCCUUUUUUGUUUCAUGCGCUUCCAUCUUACCCUUAUUGAUCAGGGGCCCCUUAACUCCCCUCCUGCUACUCUACCCUCCCACACCUCUCCCUGCCCCCUACUCCCCCUUCCCCUUGC
This is a non-coding RNA of Pelobates cultripes (western spadefoot toad), 290 nucleotides long. NCBI's taxonomy places the organism in Eukaryota, Metazoa, Chordata, Amphibia, Anura, Pelobatidae. The record is from the annotation of a GenBank genome assembly.